Non-coding RNA from Prunus avium (sweet cherry), 116 nucleotides. The record is from RefSeq and is a predicted model, not a curated record. NCBI's taxonomy places the organism in Eukaryota, Viridiplantae, Streptophyta, Magnoliopsida, Rosales, Rosaceae.
CUAGGUGCAGAAUCUACCUUGGGCUGAACCUACAGAGAACUCAGAGUAAUUUUGGGUUGAAGUGGAAGUUGGGGAUUUCUGACUCUCUUGGAGCUCUACUGUGGCGUUUGGUUUUA